Molecule: ribosomal RNA, 244 nt
Filed under: uncultured bacterium
Lineage: Bacteria
Description: partial 16S ribosomal RNA
Rfam family: Bacterial small subunit ribosomal RNA
Source: RNAcentral
UGGCGACCGGCGCACGGGUGCGUAACGCGUAUGCAACCUACCUUUAACAGGGGGAUAACACUGAGAAAUUGGUACUAAUACCCCAUAAUAUCAUAGAAGGCAUCUUUUAUGGUUGAAAAUUCCGAUGGUUAGAGAUGGGCAUGCGUUGUAUUAGCUAGUUGGUGGGGUAACGGCUCACCAAGGCGACGAUACAUAGGGGGACUGAGAGGUUAACCCCCCACACUGGUACUGAGACACGGACCAA